RNAcentral lists this ribosomal RNA (826 nucleotides) under human gut metagenome. Its description in RNAcentral is "bacterial SSU rRNA". It matches the Rfam family "Bacterial small subunit ribosomal RNA", at positions 8 to 868 of the family's 1533-position model. The record is from RNAcentral.
AGAGUUUGAUCCUGGCUCAGAACGAACGCUGGCGGCAGGCUUAACACAUGCAAGUUGAACGUGAUUUGUUGGGUGCUUGCACCGAGCAAUGAAAGUAGCGCACUGGUGAGUAACACGUGGGAACGUACCUUUUGGUGGGGAACAACAGUUGGAAACGACUGCUAAUACCGCAUAAGCCCUGAGGGGGAAAGAUUUAUCGCCGAAAGAACGGCCCGCGGAAGAUUAGGUAGUUGGUGGGGUAACGGCCUACCAAGCCGACGAUCUAUAGCUGGUCUGAGAGGACGAUCAGCCACAUUGGAACUGAGACACGGUCCAGACUCCUACGGGAGGCAGCAGUGAGGAAUAUUGGGCAAUGGAGGCAACUCUGACCCAGCCAUGCCGCGUGAGUGAAGAAGGUUUUCGGAUUGUAAAGCUCUUUCGGGUGUGACGAUGAUGACGGUAGCACCUAAAGAAGCCCCGGCUAACUUCGUGCCAGCAGCCGCGGUAAUACGAAGGGGGCAAGCGUUGUUCGGAAUUACUGGGCGUAAAGGGAGUGUAGGCGGUUAUGUAAGAUAGUGGUGAAAUCCCAGAGCUUAACUUUGGAAUUGCCAUUAUGACUAUGUGGCUAGAAUUACAGAGAGGAUAGUGGAAUACCCAGUGUAGAGGUGAAAUUCGUAGAUAUUGGGUAGAACACCAGUGGCGAAGGCGACUAUCUGGCUGUAUAUUGACGCUGAGGCUCGAAAGCAUGGGGAUCAAACAGGAUUAGAUACCCUGGUAGUCCAUGCUGUAAACGAUGAGUGCUUGUUGUCGGUAUUGUAUCGGUGACGAAGUUAACGCGUUAAGCACU